Molecule: ribosomal RNA, 785 nt
Filed under: uncultured Glomus
Lineage: Eukaryota; Fungi; Glomeromycota; Glomeromycetes; Glomerales; Glomeraceae
Description: SSU rRNA
Rfam family: Eukaryotic small subunit ribosomal RNA
Source: RNAcentral
AUGGUAGGAUAGAGGCCUACCAUGGUGGUAACGGGUAACGGGGUGUUAGGGCACGGCACCGGAGAGGGAGCCUGAGAAACGGCUACCACAUCCAAGGAAGGCAGCAGGCGCGCAAAUUACUCAAUCCCGACACGGGGAGGUAGUGACAAUAAAUAACAAUACAGGGUUCUUUGAAUCUUGUAAUUGGAAUGAGUACAAUUUAAAUCUCUUAACGGGGAACAAUUGGAGGGCAAGUCUGGUGCCAGCAGCCGCGGUAAUUCCAGCUCCAAUAGCGUAUAUUAAAGUUGUUGCAGUUAAAAAGCUCGUAGUUGAAUUUCGGGAUCAAUACGUCGGUCGUGCUUUCGGGUACGUACUGGCGUCAUUGGUUUCUCCUUUCUGACGAACCAUGAUGUCAUUAAUUUGGUGUUAUGGGGAGUUAGGACUGUUACUUUGAAAAAAUUAGAGUGUUUAAAGCAGGCAUUAGCUUGAAUACAUUAGCAUGGAAUAAUGAAAUAGGACGUUCGAUCCUAUUUUGUUGGUUUCUAGGGUCAACGUAAUGAUUAAUAGGGAUAGUUGGGGGCAUUAGUAUUCAAUUGUCAGAGGUGAAAUUCUUGGAUUUAUUGAAGACUAACUACUGCGAAAGCAUUUGCCAAGGAUGUUUUCAUUAAUCAAGAACGAAAGUUAGGGGAUCGAAGACGAUCAGAUACCGUCGUAGUCUUAACCAUAAACUAUGCCGACUAGGGAUCGGAUGAUGUUAAUUUUUUAAUGACUCAUUCGGCGCCUUACGGGAAACCAAAGUGUUUGGG